Molecule: unclassified non-coding RNA, 195 nt
Filed under: rhizosphere metagenome
Description: partial ribosomal RNA internal transcribed spacer region
Source: RNAcentral
GUAGGUGAACCUGCGGAAGGAUCAUUAAAGAAUUUGGUAAUCGUCGGUUGUCUCACGACGACUGACUGCCCCUUCUAUCCAUAACACCUGUGCACUGUUGGAUGCUUGCAUCCACUUUUAAACUAAACAUUAUUGUAACAAAUGUAGUCUUAUUAUAACAUAAUAAAACUUUUAACAACGGAUCUCUCGGCUCUC